RNAcentral lists this ribosomal RNA (437 nucleotides) under uncultured bacterium. RNAcentral describes it as "partial 16S ribosomal RNA". The record is from RNAcentral.
AGCGACUGUGCAGGUUACCGCGGCUGCUGGCACGGAGUUAGCCGGUGCUUCUUCUGUGAGUGAUGUCCUUCCUGCCGGCUAUUAACCCGCAGGCCUUCUUCCUCACUGAAAGUGCUUUACAACCCGAAGGCCUUCUUCACACACGCGGCAUGGCUGGAUCAGGGUUGCCCCCAUUGUCCAAUAUUCCCCACUGCUGCCUCCCCGUAGGAGUCUGGGCCGUGUCUCAGUCCCCAGUGUGGCUGAUCAUCCUCUCAGACCAGCUACGGAUCGUCGCCUUGGUGAGUCCGUUACCUCACCACCAGCUAACUCCGACAUAGGCUCAUCCGAUAGCGCGAGGCCCGAACGGUCCCCCGCUUUCCCCCGGUAGGGCUAGUGCGGUAUUAGCCGUGGGUUUCCCCCAGGUUACUCCCCCGACGUACCGGGCAAGUCUUCCUAUG